This is a long non-coding RNA of Molossus molossus (Pallas's mastiff bat), 585 nucleotides long. RefSeq lists it as uncharacterized. The transcript is spliced from 3 exons. The record is from RefSeq and is a predicted model, not a curated record. Lineage: Eukaryota; Metazoa; Chordata; Mammalia; Chiroptera; Molossidae.
GAGGUCCAGGGCGACAGGACAUGCUGCGCGGGACGUCGCCCAGCGGCAGGCUCCGGCUGGCGGUCUGAGGGUCCAGAGUGACGAUCCCUAGAGGGAGCAGAGCGCGACAUGCACAGAGCUGCAGGCACCGAAAAUGCCCAGGAGCAGAAAGAGCACCCGCCUGUGCAGCCUGCCGUUGGCCGGCUUCUCUGAACCUCAGUUUCCCCUUUCGGUCCAUGAGGACAUCCCUGAUGCUCAAGGUUUUGCUACUCAAUGUGCAGCCAUGGACCAAAAGCCUCCCCUUUGCCUGGGGCUUGGUGGAAAUGCAGAAUCUUGAGCCCCAUCACCGACCAUCUGAGCCAGAAUCUGUGUUUUCAAAAGAUGCCCAGCUGAGUUUUCUGCACAUUAAGCUUGAGAAGGAGAAGGAGGUGAUGCUUGUAUGAAGAAACUGGGACAAAGUGGUUAACCAAGGAGCAAGAUCUGGAACAGCCGGGGCGGCAGGCUCCCGAGCUCCUGUUUGCUGCCUUGGCUGAGUGGAUGAAUGAGAAACCGCUCCCGAAGCCCCCGGCUGUUUACCUGAAUCUGUUUCCAGGUGGCACACCAAGU